RNAcentral lists this unclassified non-coding RNA (3471 nucleotides) under Pomacea canaliculata. RNAcentral describes it as "ras-related protein Rab-22A-like, transcript variant X1". Lineage: Eukaryota; Metazoa; Mollusca; Gastropoda; Architaenioglossa; Ampullariidae. The record is from RNAcentral.
AGAGUAUCAGUCAUGUGACCGUUCAAAAUGGCGCCUGGAAGCAGAAGGAAGUUUUAUUCAUCGACUAAACCUUAGAAUCACACAUGGCGCAGAGGUCUCGGGGUGAUGAUCCCGAAGCAGAAAUAAGAACAAUGCAGAUGCGAGAUGUCAAAGUGUGCCUCUUAGGGGACUCUGGUGUGGGGAAGUCUAGCAUUGUAAUGAGGUUUGUCAGCAACACUUACAAACCAUCCCUGGAAAGUACAAUUGGGUCUGCAAAUCUUUACAAACGUGUCUUUGCUAACAGAAUGUGGUAUGGGUUUCAGUUGUGGGACACAGCGGGUGAUGAAAAGUAUCGUGCCUUAGCUCCCAUGUACUACCGAGGUGCCGCAGCAGCAGUGAUAGUCUACGACACAACACGAGAGGUGACAUACAGAGCUGUGAAAAGCUGGGUGAAUGAACUUCGUUCUUAUGGACCUCCAAAAAUAGUCAUCGCCAUAGCUGGCAACAAAUGUGACCUUGAAGACUUGAGAGAAGUUAACAGAAAAGAUGCUGAAGAUUAUGCUCGAUCAAUCAGUGCUAUAUUCUGUGAGACAAGUGCUGUCACAGCUAUCAACGUUGAGGAUCUCUUUAUGGCUGUUGCUCGGCAGCUUCCACUAGAAGAUUUUUCAGAUGGUGACAGACGGAAUGGCAGUACAGUCAAUCUACGCAGCAGUCCUGAACAACGCAAGAAGCAGUGCUGUUCUGGUGGCAAGAAUUCUCCAUCAAGUUCUAGCACUAGCAGACCACAGAGCAGUAGACAGUCUUAAUGGUUAGUGAUUGUUAGCUGAUUAAAUAUGAUCUGUUUUAACUGGUUGUGGCCUUUUCACAGUUUUACUGUGUGAAGGAAAUGUAUGCUUCUUGUUUAAUUCUAUGAGCCUGAAGUGUGUGAUAUUUCCUGAGUUAUUCAUGCCACAGCACCUUUAAUUGUUCAACUUGAUGGAGCUAUAUAUAAAAUGAAACAUGGUAUUACUUUUGAUUUGGUCAUCUGAUGGUAUUAUUAACAUAUCUUUCUAUUUGCGGUGGAAACAAAUAAGCGUUUGCUCUGUUAAUAAAAUAACAGUGUAAUAAUGAACACGUGGAAAGAAGGAAAGUAAUGGUGUGAAUCACUGGUGCAGAUUUCUUUCAUUUAGAUCAUAUCUCCCUCCCCCCACCCACCAAUGAAUUGAUAAAUGAUGCACAGGAUUUUGUGGUUCUUUGUUAUGUGCCAAAUGCGCUACAAUCAUUAGGAUUUUUUAAAUUAUAUGACGAUUAUGGAUAUGUCUUGCACACAUACAUUGUUUAAAAAAAUUAAAUGGAUUUUCGUAUUAAUGAUUUGUCUGACAGCAUAUACCAAAAAAAAAAAAAAUAUUCAGAACUUAUUUUUUAGCAUUUUUAUUCACUGUGUUAGCAGCCAUCAAUGAUUUUGGCAGUGUUGAGAGAAUUUUCAGUAUUUUCACUACCUUUUGCAGUUAUAGCUUUUAAAUGAAAGAGCGAUAAAAGAAAUCUGUUCUGAACUCUAUUACUCUGUCUACUGGUUAAGACAUUGAUACAGACUAAUACAAGGUAGGAAAUAAUAAUGGCAGAUGAAAGAGUUCAAGUUAAAAACUAUGGUUACAGGAACAAGUCAUAUGUGAAAUAAAAAGGUUGUGAAAGGACAACAGAUAGCUGUCAGCAAGAUUAUUUCCUCAAUGUACCUAUGAACUUUGCACUUCAAGGCAAACUUUGGCUUUUAAAAUGUAUGCAGCUGUAUUUGUCAAUUUAUAAAGUGAUAUAAAAGAGCUUGUGCAAUAUAUAAUAAUAUGUUGGUAUACAGAUUACUGUAUGAUAUGAGUGUUUAUCUGCUUGCUUGUACAAUGAACCAUUUACCAAUGGAGAUUUUUUUAGUUAACUGAAGUAGCAAAUAUUUGAUACAAAUGGCAGUUGUAAAGGUAAACAGUAUCUUAAUUGUCCAUUACAGAAAGAAAUAUUACAGCAGUCAUGUUAAAUCUUAUAAAGAAGAAUAAAGCAGCAGGCAAGGUUGAUUUCUCUGUCAUACCAUGAAUGGGAUAUUAGUUCUUGGUCAUACUAAGUCAUACCCCAUGUAAAUCCACACUGUUUAUCUAUUCUUUACCACAUGUGGCAUGAGUUUUCCUUUUUUUUUUCUCUCUCUCUCUCUGUGAAGGCUUUGUAUAUUAGGUUGGUAUAUUCUGCUUUGCAGUAUGUUUAUUUUCUGCAUUCAUAGAUGUUGCUGGUGGCUUCAAAUGAAAGAGAAAAAAGAGAUUUACUUUGCAGAGCUAAUUUGUGAUAAUUUUACUCUGCAUCCCAAAAAUGGACAACUUUGUAACUUGCAAUGAAGAGAAAGUCAAAGAGAUAUGAAGUGAGCUAUAUGGUAGAAUUUCAUGUGUCCCACAUUCACAGGAAGCAGGUGGUAGCAUCUCUGGCACCUUUUAUCUGCUCAGUAAGAGUGCACUUUGUACCAGCAGUCACUUGGGAGAUGAUGGGUAAUGGAAAUACACUGUUAAAGCGAAUGCAGUGACCUUCAAAGAUUAUUUUGUAAUUUCUUGCUUGAAACAUAACCACUGUUUACUACAGUUACAACAUUGAUGGUGUUUAGUGGUAUAGCUUGCAGUAAUUAUUUUUUCCCAGACUUCUUUCAUGCAUGGUCUAUGUGAUCUCUGUUGGUAUGAUAUAAAGCUUAUAUUUGUAAUUACAAUUGAUUGAUGAAUAUGAAAAUGAAAUGAUACAAGUAAAAGACUUAUGAGAGGUUCAGGUAAUCUCUUGUGUGAUUUUCUUUGAUUAGGAGCAAUAUUAACUGAGACAUGAAUUAUUUUUUGUAGAAGUGUCACAGUUCAUUAUACUGUACAAGUUAAACUGAAUUUAUGCAAAGUUACAAGAUUUAUUUAGAUACAGUUUCUCUACAUCCAAUUAAAAAAAAAAUCUGUCUUGUUGAGAACAUUCUUCAAGAAAAUUUGAAUCAUUUUUAGACCUGGACUGAAUUCAAUACCCUACUUUUCAUACAUUUUCUAUUUCCAUCACACAGAAAUCAAAAAGUAUGAAAUACGUUACUCAACUCAAAAUUGUUUUCACUUCACCAGUGUAUUUGGUUUUCAUGCUAUUCACUAUUAGCCUUUUUGCAUGUGCCCCAAACCCUUAUUUAGCUGACCAGCUAUCAGUAGAAAUUAUUUGAGAUUAGCAGUACUCUUGAAUCUUUUUUAAUUAACCCUUGGUACAGUUGCAUUUAAUAUAUCUACAACACAGUUCUGAAAACGAUAAAUAAUGUUCUUUGGAUUAACUAAAUCUUUGGUAUAGUUUUAGAAUUUUAUGAAAGUGAUUGUUGGGAUUGAUUAUUUUUUUUGGUAAAGAUUUAAAAAUAAUUGAUAUCAGGAUAACAUGCAUCGAUUAUCAAAACACUUUCGCUUGUGAUUCAUUAAGUUUAUUAUUAUUUUUGCUAGUGAAAGACAAAUUUAAAAAAUAAAGAUGUUAUUGAUACUUAAA